AGAGUUUGAUCCUGGCUCAGAACGAACGCUGGCGGCAGGCCUAACACAUGCAAGUCGAACGGGAUCUUCGGAUCUAGUGGCGGACGGGUGAGUAACGCGUGGGAACGUGCCCUUUGGUUCGGAAUAGCCCUGGGAAACUGGGAGUAAUACCGGAUACGGUCGAGAGACGAAAGAUUUAUCGCCGAAGGAUCGGCCCGCGUUGGAUUAGGUAGUUGGUGGGGUAAUGGCCUACCAAGCCGACGAUCCAUAGCUGGUUUGAGAGGAUGAUCAGCCACACUGGGACUGAGACACGGCCCAGACUCCUACGGGAGGCAGCAGUGGGGAAUCUUAGACAAUGGGGGAAACCCUGAUCUAGCCAUGCCGC
Molecule: ribosomal RNA, 364 nt
Filed under: uncultured bacterium
Lineage: Bacteria
Description: bacterial SSU rRNA
Rfam family: Bacterial small subunit ribosomal RNA
Source: RNAcentral